GACGAACGCUGGCGGCGCGCCUAACACAUGCAAGUCGAACGGAGAAAGCAGCUUGCUGCUUUCUUAGUGGCGGACGGGUGAGUAACACGUGAGUAACCUGCCUUUCAGAGGGGGAUAACGUUUGGAAACGAACGCUAAUACCGCAUAAAAUAUAUUUGUGGCAUCACAGGUAUAUCAAAGGAGCAAUCCACUGAGAGAUGGACUCGCGCCCGAUUAGAUAGUUGGUGAGGUAAUGGCUCACCAAGUCAGCGAUCGGUAGCCGGACUGAGAGGUUCAUCUGCCACAUUGGAACUGAGACACGGUCCAAACUCCUACGGGAGGCAG
Molecule: ribosomal RNA, 324 nt
Filed under: uncultured Bacillota bacterium
Lineage: Bacteria; Bacillati; Bacillota
Description: bacterial SSU rRNA
Rfam family: Bacterial small subunit ribosomal RNA
Source: RNAcentral